CCUACGGGUGGCAGCAGUGGGGAAUAUUGCACAAUGGGGGAAACCCUGAUGCAGCAACGCCGCGUGAGUGAUGACGGCCUUCGGGUUGUAAAGCACUGUCUUCAGGGACGAUAAUGAUGGUACCUGAGGAGGAAGCCACGGCUAACUCCGGGCCAGCAGCCGCGGUAAUACGUAGGUGGCGUGCGUUGGCCGGAUUUACUGGGCGUAAAGGGAGCGUAGGCGGAUUUUUAAGUCAGAUGUGAAAUACUCGGGCUCAACCUGAGGUCUGCAUUUCAUACUGGAAGGCUAGAGUGCAGGAGAGGAGAAUAGAAUUCCUAGUGUAGCGGUGAAAUGCGUAGAGAUUAGGAAGAAUACCAGUGGCGAAGGCGAUUCUCUGGAC
RNAcentral lists this ribosomal RNA (379 nucleotides) under uncultured bacterium. RNAcentral describes it as "partial 16S ribosomal RNA". It matches the Rfam family "Bacterial small subunit ribosomal RNA", at positions 338 to 734 of the family's 1533-position model. The record is from RNAcentral.